GUUACAACAGAAGAGAAGAGCCAAGAUGAAGGGAGCUAAUCACAGAGCUGGAGGAAACACAGAUUUUGGAUCGUCCUCCACUCACUCUACCACUUUGUUUUUUCCUUGCCAGACUUCAUUUAAGGAUAAGAAAGAAGCCUGCUACAAGAGAGACAGCGGAAGGGAGCCUCAAAGACAUUUUUAUUAGGAUCUGCUAAUCAUGAGGGGGCAGACAAAAGAACCUGCAUUUUCCUUCAGCUUAAUAUCAGGGGUCGCCACAGCGUAAGGAACUGGAUAUUACUUUGACAUAUGUUUUACACAGCCUUCCAGCUGCAACCCAGCACUGUGAAACACCCAUACACUCUCGUAUUCACAGACACUUCUACACUAUGUUCAAAUUCACCUAUAGCACAAGUGUUUGGACUGUGGUGGAAACCCACACCAAAACAGGGAGAACAUGCAAACUCCACACAGAAAUGCCAGCGGACCCAGCCGGGACUCAUACCAGCAACCUUUUUGCUGUGAGGUGACAGUCUGAGCCACUGUGCUGCCCCAUAGUGUAGUUAUUAAUAACCUCCAGAUGUUUUACAGUUUGAUUUUGUAAUAAUAAUGCACGUUUAGAUUUAUUGUAAUAUGUUAAUAUUUAUUCGCAAUGUAAUUUAUUUUUAUGUUAUUUAUAAUAACGUUAAAUGUCAUAAGAAUGUUAUAAUUUAAUAUAAUAUUA
This is a non-coding RNA of Danio rerio (zebrafish), 703 nucleotides long. The record is from RefSeq and is a predicted model, not a curated record. Lineage: Eukaryota; Metazoa; Chordata; Actinopteri; Cypriniformes; Danionidae.